GACGAACGCUGGCGGCGUGCUUAACACAUGCAAGUCGAACGGAAAGGCCUCUUUCGGGGGGUACUCGAGUGGCGAACGGGUGAGUAACACGUGAGUAACCUGCCCUUGACUUUGGGAUAACUUCAGGAAACUGGGGCUAAUACCGGAUAGGAGCUCCUGCUGCAUGGUGGGGGUUGGAAAGUUUCGGCGGUUGGGGAUGGACUCGCGGCUUAUCAGCUUGUUGGUGGGGUAGUGGCUUACCAAGGCUUUGACGGGUAGCCGGCCUGAGAGGGUGAUCGGCCACAUUGGGACUGAGAUACGGCCCAGACUCCUACGGGAGGCAGCAGUGGGGAAUAUUGCACAAUGGGCGGAAGCCUGAUGCAGCAACGCCGCGUGCGGGAUGACGGCCUUCGGGUUGUAAACCGCUUUCGCCUGUGACGAAGCGUGAGUGACGGUAAUGGGUAAAGAAGCACCGGCUAACUACGUG
RNAcentral lists this ribosomal RNA (466 nucleotides) under uncultured bacterium. Its description in RNAcentral is "partial 16S ribosomal RNA". It matches the Rfam family "Bacterial small subunit ribosomal RNA", at positions 28 to 507 of the family's 1533-position model. The record is from RNAcentral.